UUCAGCAACGGAUCUCUUGGCUCUCGCAUCGAUGAAGAACGCAGCGAAAUGCGAUAAGUAAUGUGAAUUGCAGAAUUCAGUGAAUCAUCGAAUCUUUGAACGCACCUUGCGCUCCUUGGUAUUCCGAGGAGCAUGCCUGUUUGAGUGU
RNAcentral lists this ribosomal RNA (148 nucleotides) under Hebeloma hiemale. RNAcentral describes it as "5.8S ribosomal RNA". It matches the Rfam family "5.8S ribosomal RNA". From Rfam's summary of the family: 5.8S ribosomal RNA (5.8S rRNA) is a component of the large subunit of the eukaryotic ribosome. It is transcribed by RNA polymerase I as part of the 45S precursor that also contains 18S and 28S rRNA. Lineage: Eukaryota; Fungi; Basidiomycota; Agaricomycetes; Agaricales; Hymenogastraceae. RNAcentral also lists the same sequence under 1 other name. The record is from RNAcentral.